UACGAAGGGGGCUAGCGUUGUUCGGAAUCACUGGGCGUAAAGGGCGCGUAGGCGGCUUUACAAGUCGGGGGUGAAAGCCUGUGGCUCAACCACAGAAUUGCCUUCGAUACUGUAGAGCUUGAGACCGGAAGAGGUAAGUGGAACUGCGAGUGUAGAGGUGAAAUUCGUAGAUAUUCGCAAGAACACCAGUGGCGAAGGCGGCUUACUGGUCCGGUUCUGACGCUGAGGCGCGAAAGCGUGGGGAGCAAACAGG
RNAcentral lists this ribosomal RNA (253 nucleotides) under uncultured bacterium. RNAcentral's name for it is "partial 16S ribosomal RNA". It matches the Rfam family "Bacterial small subunit ribosomal RNA", at positions 524 to 776 of the family's 1533-position model. The record is from RNAcentral.